CUCAGAUACUGCGGAGACAUUAACGAAAUAACAAGGAGUUGUUGCAUGCCAAAAUGGUGUCGCACGCUCUGUCCAUUUCAAACCCCUGUGCACCUAUUGUAGGCAUGGUCGUAGGGCUGACUUCGGUCGGUUCGAAAGCCUUGUCUAUGUUUUUAACAAACGCUUCAGUUUAAGAAUGUAACACUUGUGGAUAACACAAUAAAUACAACUUUCAGCAACGGAUCUCUUGGCUCUCGCAUCGAUGAAGAACGCAGCGAAAUGCGAUAAGUAAUGUGAAUUGCAGAAUUCAGUGAAUCAUCGAAUCUUUGAACGCACCUUGCGCUCCUUGGUAUUCCGAGGAGCAUGCCUGUUUGAGUGUCAUGGAAUUCUCAACCUUCGUAACUUUUUUGUGACGAAGGCUUGGACUUGGAGGUCGUGUCGGCUUGCGAAAGUCGACUCCUCUGAAAUGCAUUAGUGCGAACCUUACGGAUCGCUUCGGUGUGAUAAUUAUCUGCGCCGUGGUGUUGAAGUAUAACAGUGUUCGAGCUUCUAACCGUCCGCGAGGACAACUACUUUGACAAUCUGACCUCAAAUCAGGUAGGACUACCCGCUGAACUUAAGCAUAUCAUA
The sequence is a ribosomal RNA, 609 nucleotides long. The stretch from base 207 to 360 matches the Rfam family "5.8S ribosomal RNA".